Molecule: unclassified non-coding RNA, 147 nt
Filed under: soil metagenome
Description: partial internal transcribed spacer 1
Source: RNAcentral
CCGAGUUUACAGCUCCCAAACCCCUGUGAACAUACCACUUGUUGCCUCGGCGGAUCAGCCCGCUCCCGGUAAAACGGGACGGCCCGCCAGAGGACCCCUAAACUCUGUUUCUAUAUGUAACUUCUGAGUAAAACCAUAAAUAAAUCA